RNAcentral lists this ribosomal RNA (330 nucleotides) under uncultured bacterium. RNAcentral's name for it is "bacterial SSU rRNA". It matches the Rfam family "Bacterial small subunit ribosomal RNA", at positions 568 to 898 of the family's 1533-position model. The record is from RNAcentral.
UUCGUAGGCGGUGCGGAAAGUUGGGAGUGAAAUCUCUGGGCUUAACUCAGGGACUGCUUUCAAAACUUCCGUGCUGGAGUGCGAGAGAGGCAAGUGGAAUUGCAGGUGUAGCGGUGAAAUGCGUAGAUAUCUGCAGGAACACCCGUGGCGAAGGCGGCUUGCUGGAUCGCAACUGACGCUGAGGAACGAAAGCUAGGGGAGCAAACAGGAUUAGAUACCCUGGUAGUCCUAGCCCUAAACGAUCAGAACUUGGGGUGCAUCCCGUUGGGGGUGCGUCUCGUAGCUAACGCGUUAAGUUCUGCGCCUGGGGAGUACGGUCGCAAGACUGAA